AUGGAGUUGAGGCUGAUCUGGGUUUUCCUUGUUGCUAUUUUAAAAGGUGUCCAGUGUGUGGUGCAGCUGGGGAAACUUGGUGCAGCCUGGCGGGUCCCUGAAACUCUCCUGUACAGCCUCUGGAUUCACCUUCAGUGGUUACUACAUGUACUGGGUCUGCCAGACUCCAGGGAAGGGGCUGGGGUGGCUCUCACACAUUAGUGGUAGUGGUGGUAGCACAAAGUAUGCAGACUCCGUGAAGGGCAGAUUCACCAUCUCCAGAGACAAUUCCAAGAACACACUGUAUCUGCAAAUGAACAGCCUGAGAGCCGAUGACACCACCACGUAUUACUGUGCAGAAGACACAGUGUGUGAUCUUCAGUGUGAGCCCAGACACAAAUCUCCCUGCAGGGAUUCUCACAACCAGCAGGGGGCGCGCAGGACACACUGA
This is a non-coding RNA of Castor canadensis (American beaver), 430 nucleotides long. NCBI's taxonomy places the organism in Eukaryota, Metazoa, Chordata, Mammalia, Rodentia, Castoridae. The record is from RefSeq and is a predicted model, not a curated record.